GACGAACGCUGGCGGCGUGCUUAACACAUGCAAGUCGAACGAUGAAGCUGGAGCUUGCUCUGGCGGAUUAGUGGCGAACGGGUGAGUAACACGUGAGAAAUCUGCCCUUGACUCUGGGAUAACUGCGGAAACUGUAGCUAAUACCGGAUACUUUCCCUGGUGGGCAUCCACUGGGGAAGAAAGAAUUUCGGUCAAGGAUGAUCUCGCGGCCUAUCAGCUGGCUGGUGGGGUAAUGGCUCACCAAGGCGACGACGGGUAGCCGGUCUGAGAGGGUGACCGGCCAACAUGGGACUGAGACAAGGGCCAGGCUCCUACGGGAGGCAGGAGUGGGGGAUAUUGCACAAUGGGCGCAAGCCUGGUGCAGCAACGCCGCGUGAGGGAUGAAGGCCUUCGGGUUGUAAACCUCUUUUAGCAGGGAAGAAGCGAAAGUGACGGUACCUGCAGAAAAAGCACCGGCUAACUACGUGCCAGCCGCCGCAGUAA
RNAcentral lists this ribosomal RNA (483 nucleotides) under uncultured bacterium. RNAcentral describes it as "partial 16S ribosomal RNA". It matches the Rfam family "Bacterial small subunit ribosomal RNA", at positions 28 to 523 of the family's 1533-position model. The record is from RNAcentral.